GAUGAACGCUGGCGGCGUGCCUAAUACAUGCAAGUCGAGCGAACAGAUGAGGAUCUUGCUCCUCUGACGUUAGCGGCGGACGGGUGAGUAACACGUGGAUAACCUACCUAUAAGACUGGGAUAACUUCGGGAAACCGGAUCUAAUACCGGAUAAUAUAUUGAACCGCAUGGUUCAAUAGUGAAAGACGGUUUUGCUGUCACUUAUAGAUGGAUCCGCGCCGCAUUAGCUAGUUGGUAAGGUAACGGCUUACCAAGGCGACGAUGCGUAGCCGACCUGAGAGGGUGAUCGGCCACACUGGAACUGAGACACGGUCCAGACUCCUACGGGAGGCAGCAGUAGGGAAUCUUCCGCAAUGGGCGAAAGCCUGACGGAGCAACGCCGCGUGAGUGAUGAAGGUCUUCGGAUCGUAAAACUCUGUUAUUAGGGAAGAACAAAUGUGUAAGUAACUAUGCACGUCUUGACGGUACCUAAUCAGAAAGCCACGGCUAACUACGUG
This 497-nucleotide ribosomal RNA is filed under the name uncultured bacterium. RNAcentral describes it as "partial 16S ribosomal RNA". It matches the Rfam family "Bacterial small subunit ribosomal RNA", at positions 28 to 507 of the family's 1533-position model. The record is from RNAcentral.